AUUGAACGCUGGCGGCAUGCCUAACACAUGCAAGUCGAACGAGGUUGACUUCCGCCAGCCUAGUGGCGGACGGGUGAGUAAUGCGUGGGAAUCUGCCUCGUAGUGGGGGAUAACGUAGGGAAACUUACGCUAAUACCGCAUACGCUCUACGGAGGAAGGGGGGGGAUCUUUGGACCUCUCGCUAUGAGAUGAGCCCACGUCUGAUUAGCUAGUUGGUGGGGUAAAGGCCUACCAAGGCGACGAUCAGUAGCCGGCCUGAGAGGGUGUACGGCCACACUGGGACUGAGACACGGCCCACACUCCUACGGGAGGCAGCAGUGGGGAAUAUUGGACAAUGGGCGAAAGCCUGAUCCAGCAAUGCCGCGUGUGUGAAGAAGGCCUGCGUGUUGUAAAGCACUUUAAGUGGGGAAGAAUGGGAUUGCGCUAAUACCGUGAUCCUUUGACGUUACCCACAGAAUAAGCACCGGCUAACUCUGUGCCAGCAGCCGCGGUAAUACGGAGGGUGCGAGCGUUAAUCGGAAUUACUGGGCGUAAAGCGCAUGUAGGCGGUUUGAUAAGUC
This 560-nucleotide ribosomal RNA is filed under the name uncultured bacterium. RNAcentral's name for it is "bacterial SSU rRNA". It matches the Rfam family "Bacterial small subunit ribosomal RNA", at positions 28 to 589 of the family's 1533-position model. The record is from RNAcentral.